GAGUGGGUGGCGUAGUGGGUAAAGCCUCGGCUUGCUAAGCCGAAGGUCCCGGGUUCGAUUCCCGUUUGGGUCC
RNAcentral lists this transfer RNA (73 nucleotides) under Habropoda laboriosa. It matches the Rfam family "tRNA". From Rfam's summary of the family: Transfer RNA (tRNA) molecules are approximately 80 nucleotides in length. Their secondary structure includes four short double-helical elements and three loops (D, anti-codon, and T loops). Further hydrogen bonds mediate the characteristic L-shaped molecular structure. tRNAs have two regions of fundamental functional importance: the anti-codon, which is responsible for specific mRNA codon recognition, and the 3' end, to which the tRNAs corresponding amino acid is attached (by aminoacyl-tRNA synthetases). tRNAs cope with the degeneracy of the genetic code in two manners: having more than one tRNA (with a specific anti-codon) for a particular amino acid; and 'wobble' base-pairing, i.e. permitting non-standard base-pairing at the 3rd anti-codon position. The record is from Rfam by way of RNAcentral. Lineage: Eukaryota; Metazoa; Arthropoda; Insecta; Hymenoptera; Apidae.